This 169-nucleotide long non-coding RNA is filed under the name Phasianus colchicus (ring-necked pheasant). RNAcentral describes it as "lncRNA (ENSPCLG00000001891.1)". The record is from RNAcentral. Lineage: Eukaryota; Metazoa; Chordata; Aves; Galliformes; Phasianidae.
AUGGAAAGCUGUUGGGAAGAUUUCUUAUAUUUAAGGUGUUAAAAUUACUUUUCUGUCUUAUUUAGCAAGCCUGCAUAGACUGAAUAGGAGCCAAAGCAGCAGCCUGCCGAAGAAUCAUCCUAAAAUUCACAAGGGUUGUUGUCUCCUAGAUGAUCAUUUCCAGUGUUAC